RNAcentral lists this ribosomal RNA (439 nucleotides) under uncultured bacterium. RNAcentral describes it as "partial 16S ribosomal RNA". It matches the Rfam family "Bacterial small subunit ribosomal RNA", at positions 338 to 794 of the family's 1533-position model. The record is from RNAcentral.
CCUACGGGAGGCAGCAGUGGGGGAUAUUGCACAAUGGGGGAAACACUGAUGCAGCGACGCCGCGUGAGUGAAGAAGUAUUUCGGUAUGUAAAGCUCUAUCAGCAGGGAAGAAAAUGACAGUACCUGACCAAGAAGCCCCGGCUAACUACGUGCCAGCAGCCGCGGUAAUACGUAGGGGGCAAGGGUUAUCCGGAUUUACGGGGUGUAAAGGGAGCGUAGACGGUUAUGUAAGGCUGGGGUGAAAGCCCGGGGUCCAACCCCGGGACUGCUUUGGAAACUGUGUAACUGGAGUACAGGAGGGGCAGGCGGAGUUCCUGGUGUAGCGGUGAAGUGCGUAGUUAUCAGGAGGAACACCGGCGGCGAAGGCGGCCUGCUGGACUGAAACUGACGUUGAGGCUCGAAAGCGUGGGGAGCAAACCGGCUUCGGUACCCCCGUCGU